This 305-nucleotide non-coding RNA is filed under the name Pan troglodytes (chimpanzee). The record is from RNAcentral. Lineage: Eukaryota; Metazoa; Chordata; Mammalia; Primates; Hominidae.
AGAAGUCCUUCAAAUGUAAUUGCAAAGUCAGAGACCUACAGGGAAAUGGGGAUCAAAAGCUCUCAUCACUCCAGAUGCUACAAAGCCUUCCCUUCCAGAUGCUACCGAUUUUACUCCCCAGAGCACAGAAGAAAAGUUCGUCAUUGAUGACUGCUGUCAUACUGAAAUCAUGAAGCUAAAGGCUACAGAGGGCUACUAGAAGCCUGAGUUUCUGAAGACUGUGUGGAACCAUCAAAGCAGCCCUGAAUAUUUCCCUUGAGACUUUUCCAUUAUAGGAAGGGCAAAGAAAUAGAUGAUGUAUGAUG